This is a long non-coding RNA of Gadus morhua (Atlantic cod), 1943 nucleotides long. The record is from Ensembl. Lineage: Eukaryota; Metazoa; Chordata; Actinopteri; Gadiformes; Gadidae.
GUCAGGAGCUGCUUUUCCCAGCAGAGGCUAUGCUGAGGCACAGAAACUUCUCAAAACUCACUUUGGUGAUGGAUUCAAGAUUGGCAAUGCUUACAUGGAGAAGGCUGUCAAUUGGAGCAAUAUUAAGGCUGAGGAUGGCACUGCACUGCAUGACUAUGCCCUUUACCUGCGAGGAUGCUGCAAUGCUAUGAACACACUUAAAAGCAUGGAUAAUUUAGAAUAGAAUCAACGCUACUAGAGAGAGGUCUGAUGGCGCCAGUGUGUCAGGCUCGCCGUCAGGUGCUCUACCUGUUGUGUUUGUUUUUGCUGCUUUUAACGCUUGUACAUAACAUCAACGCUCUUCUGGUCUAUGAUCGCCAAACGUUGCUUGAUCUGAGAAACGCUGCUAUAAAUUUUCAAAAAUCGGAUUAUUGUGAAGGGGGGACACCUUUCCCACCGGAUCUCCCGGCCGACCUCCGCCGCACGCUUGCUCCACUACCUCGGAGAAGAAGGUACCGGCGACGGGGGAAACGUAGCGGCUAUCUCGUGAAGCUGAGGUUGGGGUUGGCACGUCCUGAUCGAUAUGGUGCUGCCCCUCGCCUGUGUGUCUCUCAGCGCUUCCUGGAUCCUGUUGCUUCCUCUCUGGUGAAGGUGACGGGCUGUGAUGAGGCCUUCCAGCCCCACCAUCCCUGCUCCCCUUGUUUACGCUGGCGUGGAGCAAAUCUGGAGUAUCUUCGGCCCCUGGCUCGCGCCCCAUCGUCAGCUGGUUGUCCGCCGGCUCCUGCUAGAUUUGGCUUGGUUAACGCCAGAUCACUUGGAAAUAAAGCUUUUAUCCUCAAGGACUUCUUCGUUACGCGGGAGCUGGACUUUCUUUUUAUCUCCGAGACCUGGCUAAGUGCGGGUGAGUCCGGAGUCUUUUCUGAUCUUCUACCUGACGAGUGCUCCUAUUUCAAUUCUCCCCGGUCGUCUGGUCGAGGAGGAGGAAUUGCGACUGUUUAUAAGAGUGACUUUAAAUGCAAACAAAUAUCGCGGCCAUCCCCCGCGAGCUUCGAACUGAGCUUAUUUGAGCUGGGUCAUCCCCACACUGUGUUGUGUGCUGUGAUUUAUCGUCCUCCCAAAUAUAACAAAGACUUUUUGAUGGACUUCUCUGUAUUCCUGUCGGAUAUUAUGCCGAAUUAUGACCGGGUCCUCAUUGUGGGGAAUUUUAACAUUCACGUCUGUUGUCCUGAGAAGAACUCAUUGGCGAGAGACUUUUUAAAUAUCAUUGACUCGUUUGACAUUGUCCAAGCUGUACUUGGGCCGACACAUGAACGCGGUCAUACACUUGACCUCGUCUUAUCCUAUGGUUUGCCCGUUUGCAAUCUGGAGAUCUGUGAUGCCUUUUUCUCUGAUCAUAUGCCUGUUCUGUUUGAAGCCGCUGUGAACCGUUUGACAGCUAAACCUUGCGCAGUCGCUCGCAAAUGUCGGGUUAUGAACCCCUCCACUGCCGCACGUUUUUCCACUGUUUUCAACCAGAACUGUGUUAUUCCUGAAAAUGUGUCAGAUGAUACUGAGUCACUGAACUGUUGGUUUCUCAACUGCUGUCAAACUGCCUUAGACAUUGUGGCUCCACAUAAAAUCAGACGGCAAUAAACUAAAUCGGAGGCUGAACCCUGGUUAAAUGAAACCACCAGGGCUUCUAGACAGGAGUGUAGAAGAGCUGAGAGAAAGUGGAAAAAGGACAAACUACAAGUGUCUUUCCAAAUUAUGCGAGAUUGCUGGCGCCACUACCAGUCGUCUGUGAGAGAGGCCAAAAGAAAAUAUUUUUCUGAGAUCAUUUUGUUAAAUUCUCACAAACCUCGUGCAUUGUUUAAGGUAAUUAACUCUGCUCUGAAUGCACCACAGGCGUUGCAAAUUGAGGGGUCUCCUGCUGUGUGUGAAGACUUUCUCAGGUUUUUCAUUGACAAAGUGACAUCUGCUAGAGC